GACGAACGCUGGCGGCGUGCCUAAUACAUGCAAGUAGAACGCUGAAGGAGGAGCUUGCUUCUCUGGAUGAGUUGCGAACGGGUGAGUAACGCGUAGGUAACCUGCCUGGUAGCGGGGGAUAACUAUUGGAAACGAUAGCUAAUACCGCAUAAUAUUGACUAUUGCAUGAUAGUCAGUUGAAAGGUGCAACUGCACCACUACCAGAUGGACCUGCGUUGUAUUAGCUAGUUGGUGGGGUAACGGCUCACCAAGGCGACGAUACAUAGCCGACCUGAGAGGGUGAUCGGCCAAACUGGGACUGAGACACGGCCCAGACUCCUACGGGAGGCAGCAGUAGGGAAUCUUCGGCAAUAGACGGAAGUCUGACCGAGCAACGCCGCGUGAGUGAAGAAGGUUUUCGGAUCGUAAAGCUCUGUUGUAAGAGAAGAACGAGUGUGAGAGUGGAAAGCUCACACUGUGACGGUAUCUUACCAGAAAGGGACGGCUAACUACGUG
RNAcentral lists this ribosomal RNA (495 nucleotides) under uncultured bacterium. RNAcentral describes it as "partial 16S ribosomal RNA". It matches the Rfam family "Bacterial small subunit ribosomal RNA", at positions 28 to 507 of the family's 1533-position model. The record is from RNAcentral.